GAGAAAAUGGAUGGACGGUUGAAGAAAAGAGGGGAAAAGACCAUGCAGUUGAACUAACUUCUUUUUAAUUUCAAACAGGUAUUUUUUGCAUCCGUGCGAUCUGGAGGAAGUAGCCAAGUGUUUUUCAUGACCCUCAACAGAAAUUCCAUGAUGAACUGGUAACAGAAGAGCACUUGGCACUUAUCUUCAUGGCGUUAUUUCUAAUUUAAAAGAACAUAACUCAUGUGGACUUAUGCCAGUCUAGAGGCAGAAUCAGAAGGCUUGGUUGAACAUAUCGCUUUCCCUUUUUCCUCUCCCUCCGCCCCUCCCAGUACAGUCCAUCUUUCAAUGUUGCAGCCUGGUUGAGAAGGAGAGAAAAAGAUGGACCAUGUGCCCUUCGGAAUUAGGGAUAGAAACAAAUAUUGUGUGCUCUUAACGAUUAAGCUGUGUUAUGGUGG
This 437-nucleotide long non-coding RNA is filed under the name Homo sapiens (human). RNAcentral describes it as "non-protein coding lnc-SLC2A2-1:1". Lineage: Eukaryota; Metazoa; Chordata; Mammalia; Primates; Hominidae. The record is from RNAcentral.